AAGUCGUAACAAGGUUUCCGUAGGUGAACCUGCGGAAGGAUCAUUAACACGUAUCCAACGUUAAACCCCCCCGUGAACCUUCAUUCGUGCUCUGGUAGCCCAUGCGGGACAGCAAUUCCUGGUAAAUCAUUGUCGGAAAUAGAUUUUGAGUCAGGAACCUCUGCCCAAUGAGACGUACAGUUACCAUAGAAGCGCUAGUUCUAUCGGCAUUGUUUCCCUAAGCAGUCAGUGGCGUGAAAGUGGUCAACUGAUUGUGGAAGGAUAACGCUUAACGAUUUCGCAGCCGCUUCACGCGGGCGGAGCUUUGCCAAAGGGUCCCCAUGCCCCCUACACGUGCCGAUUUCUAUUAAAAGCUCCAUUUUCAAUUAUGGAUGGGGUAAAACCGAACAACUGUUAACAAUGGAUAUCUUGGUUCUC
Molecule: unclassified non-coding RNA, 417 nt
Filed under: fungal sp.
Lineage: Eukaryota; Fungi
Description: partial internal transcribed spacer region
Rfam family: Eukaryotic small subunit ribosomal RNA (bases 1-46)
Source: RNAcentral